RNAcentral lists this small nucleolar RNA (204 nucleotides) under Castor canadensis (American beaver). RNAcentral's name for it is "Small nucleolar RNA SNORA73 family (ENSCCNG00000030408.1)". It matches the Rfam family "Small nucleolar RNA SNORA73 family". Rfam says of the family: U17 (SNORA73A and SNORA73B) also known as E1 belongs to the H/ACA class of small nucleolar RNAs (snoRNAs). Vertebrate U17 is intron-encoded and ranges in length from 200-230 nucleotides, longer than most snoRNAs. It is one of the most abundant snoRNAs in human cells and is essential for the cleavage of pre-rRNA within the 5' external transcribed spacer (ETS). The record is from Rfam by way of RNAcentral. Lineage: Eukaryota; Metazoa; Chordata; Mammalia; Rodentia; Castoridae.
CCAGUGUGGACGCCCAGGGAGGUCACUGCCUCCAGACUCUGUCCACGUGGCUUAGGGGAGCAUAGAGCUCUGCCUGUGACAUGCAGUGCCUGUCCACCAUGUUGGAGAAGAUACCAGGCCUUGUGUCUGCACCGGCACUUUCCUACAGCUUCCCAGAGUCUGGCAGGACAAUGACUAAGGAGACAAACCAUGUAGGAAACAUGU